GCAAGUCGAACGCGAACGUUUCCUUCGGAGAAGCGAGUAGAGUGGCGCACGGGUGAGUAACGCGUAAGUUAUCUACCCUCCCAUCUGGAAUAACUCACCGAAAGGUGUGCUAAUACCGGAUACGUUGAUUUAUCAAGAAAGGUGGCCUCUGAUUAAAGCUACCGUGGGGGGAUGAGCUUGCGUACCAUUAGCUAGUUGGUAGGGUAAUGGCCUACCAAGGCAACGAUGGUUAGCGGGUCUGAGAGGAUGAUC
Molecule: ribosomal RNA, 252 nt
Filed under: uncultured bacterium
Lineage: Bacteria
Description: partial 16S ribosomal RNA
Rfam family: Bacterial small subunit ribosomal RNA
Source: RNAcentral